Molecule: microRNA precursor, 90 nt
Filed under: Mesocricetus auratus (golden hamster)
Lineage: Eukaryota; Metazoa; Chordata; Mammalia; Rodentia; Cricetidae
Description: miRNA (ENSMAUG00000001748.1)
Source: RNAcentral
CCGAGGAAGCCUUUAGUCCCUCCUACCCACAGUGUAUGCUAGCUGUCACCGCAGUGAACCUGUGGAAUGUGGGAGGGGCAUUCAGUGUGU